RNAcentral lists this ribosomal RNA (222 nucleotides) under Salmonella enterica subsp. enterica serovar Derby. Its description in RNAcentral is "partial 23S ribosomal RNA". It matches the Rfam family "Bacterial large subunit ribosomal RNA", at positions 526 to 647 of the family's 2925-position model. Lineage: Bacteria; Pseudomonadati; Pseudomonadota; Gammaproteobacteria; Enterobacterales; Enterobacteriaceae. The record is from RNAcentral.
CCGGCGAGGGGAGUGAAAAAGAACCUGAAACCGUGUACGUACAAGCAGUGGGAGCCCCACCACUAAGCCAGUGGUGAACUCCACAUACGCUCCUUUGCUGAGGAUACGGUUAACGGAGCGCAAGCGACGUUCAACCGCAAAAGAAGCAGAGGGGGCUUAGUGGUGGGGUGACUGCGUACCUUUUGUAUAAUGGGUCAGCGACUUAUAUUCUGUAGCAAGGUU